This 97-nucleotide non-coding RNA is filed under the name unclassified sequences. The record is from Rfam.
GUAAUUUGAGGUGGGAGAUUUCGUCCAGCCCACGCGCCGAUGGUGUGACAGGGGAAACCCGAGUAGAUGCAGGAGAAUUGGACGCCUGCCAAAUUAC